UGGGGAAUAUUGCACAAUGGGCGCAAGCCUGAUGCAGCCAUGCCGCGUGUAUGAAGAAGGCCUUCGGGUUGUAAAGUACUUUCAGCGAGGAGGAAGGCGUUGUGGUUAAUAACCGCAGCGAUUGACGUUACUCGCAGAAGAAGCACCGGCUAACUCCGUGCCAGCAGCCGCGGUAAUACGGAGGGUGCAAGCGUUAAUCGGAAUUACUGGGCGUAAAGCGCACGCAGGCGGUCUGUCAAGUCGGAUGUGAAAUCCCCGGGCUCGACCUGGGAACUGCAUCCGAAACUGGCAGGCUAGAGUCUUGUAGAGGGGGGUAGAAUUCCAGGUGUAGCGGUGAAAUGCGUAGAGAUCUGGAGGAAUACCGGUGGCGAAGGCGGCCCCCUGGACAAAGACUGACGCUCAGGUGCGAAAGCGUGGGGAGCAAACA
This 427-nucleotide ribosomal RNA is filed under the name uncultured bacterium. RNAcentral's name for it is "partial 16S ribosomal RNA". It matches the Rfam family "Bacterial small subunit ribosomal RNA", at positions 355 to 774 of the family's 1533-position model. The record is from RNAcentral.